Molecule: long non-coding RNA, 180 nt
Organism: Sander lucioperca (pikeperch)
Lineage: Eukaryota; Metazoa; Chordata; Actinopteri; Perciformes; Percidae
Exons: 4
Source: RefSeq, a predicted model, not a curated record
ACAGACGUCAGGUUGGAGGGCUGAUCGCCGGACGUCAGGUUGACGAAGGGAACAGACGUCAGGUUGGAGGGUUGAUCGCCGGACGUCAGGUUGGAGGGUUGAUCGCCGGACGUCAGGUUGACGAAGGGAACAGACGUCAGGUUGGAGGGCUGAUCGCCGGACGUCAGGUUGGAGGGCUGA